This 900-nucleotide small RNA is filed under the name Pan troglodytes (chimpanzee). RNAcentral describes it as "retained intron". The record is from RNAcentral. Lineage: Eukaryota; Metazoa; Chordata; Mammalia; Primates; Hominidae.
UCCGCCUUGGCAGUGGGCGCGUUGGAGUGGGCAUGGAGCGCUCGUGUGGAGCGGGCGUGGGCACCUUGGUUUGACCACAGCUGGUGUCAUCCUUGGCAGAUGGUCAAACUGAGGCACAGAGGCCACUCCAACCCUAGCGUUCGGGACCGGCCUCCCGGCCACGGGUGAGCAAGGGUCUCACACUGUGUCUUGACGCCACCAGGUCGCGUGGGGCAGGCAGUGGCGCUGCGGGCCAAGGCCUUCGGCUUCAAUGUGCUCUUCUACGACCCUUACUUGUCGGAUGGCGUGGAGCGGGCGCUGGGGCUGCAGCGUGUCAGCACCCUGCAGGACCUGCUCUUCCACAGCGACUGCGUGACCCUGCACUGCGGCCUCAACGAGCACAACCACCACCUCAUCAACGACUUCACCGUCAAGCAGAUGAGACAAGGGGCCUUCCUGGUGAACACAGCCCGGGGCGGCCUGGUGGACGAGAAGGCGCUGGCCCAGGCCCUGAAGGAGGGCCGGAUCCGCGGCGCGGCCCUGGAUGUGCACGAGUCGGAACCCUUCAGGUGCCCCCACGGCCAGUGCCGCCCCCCUGCUCUUCCCUGUCCACCAUCCUGCCGGCCUUGACCUCCAGACGGCGCCUCUGCCAGGCCGGACACUUGCCUGUACUCAGGCCUCUCGCUGGCCAGCAGUGGGGGAGUUUGCCGCCCGCUGCGGGGUGAGGAUGGAGCCACGGGCUCUAGGCCUGCCUUGCCUCGGUCCUGUGAGGGGCUGCUCAACCUCCUCAGCCCUUCUUUGGGCAGGGCUCCUGACCAGCCAGGAGAGAGUGAGGCCCCAGUGUCCGUGAGUGGUCCCCAUGGGCCCUGGCCAUGGAGUCAUGGCAUCCCGUCCAGACCUGCAGCCCCUACAGCGCCUUGG